UACGUAGGGGGCAAGCGUUGUCCGGAAUCAUUGGGCGUAAAGCGCGUGUAGGCGGGUCGGUAAGUCCGCUCUGAAAGCCCGGGGCUCAACCCCGGGAGGCGGGUGGAUACUGUCGACCUCGAGUCCGGAAGAGGCGAGUGGAAUUCCUGGUGUAGCGGUGGAAUGCGCAGAUAUCAGGAGGAACACCGGUGGCGAAGGCGGGUCUCUGGGCAGUAACUGACGCUGAGGAGCGAAAGCGUGGGGAGCGAACAGG
Molecule: ribosomal RNA, 253 nt
Filed under: uncultured bacterium
Lineage: Bacteria
Description: partial 16S ribosomal RNA
Rfam family: Bacterial small subunit ribosomal RNA
Source: RNAcentral